GUUCCCUCAUCGCUCACAGUACUGUGUGGGCCUUAUGGAGAGGCAGUGCUGGAGAAGGUGCUCGAUGGUAAAGAGGCCCCUGAGAGAGGCUAAGUGGUCUAGAGAGCUCCAGAGAGGCUUCUUGAAGGAGGCCCAUUAGAAACAGCGGUCAGGUCGGGAGGCUGGGAAUAGACCAGAUGUUUGAGUUCCAGCCCCAGAAACAAACGGAUAGGAAAGUGGCAGCAUGAGGACCAGAUUCUACAUCAGGAGGGAUCCCCCAAUGUGGAUGUAACUUCGAAUCCCUCCCUGCCCCAAUCCUUCACCUAUCUUUGUUCUUUCUGAACAGUAGUGGGUAGAGAACUUGACAAACGCCCUCUUGCAGAGGGCCUUAAGGUGCAAGUUAUAUUUCCAGGUUUUUCUUGAUGUUUAUUCUGUUCCUAUCUCCUCCGCACUGGCCUCCAGCUCUAAGAGAUUUGAUUAUGCUCUACGUGCACCAUACGCCUCCUGCUGGCUAGAGUCAGUAAUUACAGCACCUAAUGGCCAGUCCCUAGAAAUCUGCCUUCAGAAAGAGUAGUGUUGAUACUUACCAAGUGUCAGACACUUUCCCAGGGACAUGCACAUGUGCCAACUUAUUUUCUUACAGGACCCCAUUAGUUCAGUAUUGUUCUUAUUCUCACGUGAUCCACGAUAAAACCAAAGCAGAGAGGUUAGCCCAAGACCACUCAGCCAGAGGAGUCAAGCUAGGUGAGUUUGCUGGUCAUGGCAUAGACUCCUUGACAAUGGCUGGCUGGCUAACACACACUAGCUUGUUUGCAAUCUCCUGUGAGGUUGUGAAGGAAAGAAAGGGAAAGAAAAGAAGAAAGAAAAAAAGAAAGACAACUUUAUAAGAAACAGUUACAAUAACUCACCCAUGUGUCACCAUUAACAAGACAGGGAGACAAUGGAUUGAGAAUUUUGGUUUCUCUAAAAAACAGAAAUAUCAUGCAAAUAUGUUUUUGUUUUAAUCUCAGGUGAGGGAUAGGAGACUGCUUCACAGCAGGUGACUGUGAUUUGCCUCGUGCUCCAGCAGGGGCGUGGUAUUGCCAGCUACAUACAGUUUCUGCGAGUAUGUGACGUCUGGAAUUCUUGGGACUUUUCAGAGGAUAUUUAAAUGCUAGCACCUUGAUUAGAAGGGGGUGUUUGGCCAGCUGGUGGUUUGUACAAUUUGCUUCAAGGAACUCAAUGUUCCUAAUCGGCAGGAAAAAGAUAUCUUCAUCCUUCCCUCUCUGUUUUGUCUCCUACCUAGUGUUAGUGGUUGAAAGGGUGGAAGAAGAUGGGAGGAGAAGGGCAGGAGAAAGAAGAACCCACAAAGCAGGCAAAAGUUCAGCCGUAAGACAAUAUUCUGGAAGGUGCAAUGGGAAUGCAGGGAGGACAAAGGAAUUCUCAUCCAAGGUUAAAGUUGGCCUUUGUGUUGGUGGAGGUUGGGAGAGGAGGUAUAUUCUAGUGGAGUGUGGACAUCCAACAUAAGGUUUAUCAGAGUUUUCAGGACAUUAAAACCAAAUGCAGCCACAUGACAAGUCCUCAUCUAACAUGACUGUUGUUCUUGGAAGAAUAAACCAGGACAGAGACAUGAAGGCAGAUGCAGGAAUGUCACCUUCUACAAGCCAAAGAGCGAAGUUCUCAGAAGAAAUCUCACAGCCAACCCCUUAACUUUGGAUUUCUGACUCAGAGCUGUGAGAAGACGAACUUUGAUGUUUUAGCCCCACGGUCUGUAGCACUGUGCCAUGUGGCCCUGGAGGACUGGCUCAUCUGUGUUCUGCUCUGUGCCUGCCUGUCUCUCGGUAGAAGCCCAUACCCAUCUUUGGUUAUCCCUGCAUCUGAUUUACAACCUCUGGCUUUGGUAUCCAGAGACACUACUUUCCAGCAUUCUUUGCUGGUGUGAUUUUUGCCCUUUCCCCCUAACUACUAGACAAAGAUACAACAGGCUUAACAAGUGAUCUGGGACACCCCUUCCUCUCGGUCCUGCUGGAGCUUCCUGACAGUCCGCUGACAUUAUUUAUGCAAGAUACACCAGCCUCCAGUGCAUAGCAUGUCAAGUUUUUACAAGGGUACUGGCUGUGUGGAUUCCUCUCUGCAGCUUCAGAUCUGGUAAGGUGCCUGGAUUUUAGAGGUAUGUGAUCACUUUGUUUUUGAGAGAAUAAUGUGUGCUUAUGAGGAAACAGAGACUCCAAAGAGAAUUCUGUGGGCAACCCCAGCCUUGGGAAUACACCGUUAGUCUUUUUCUUGCACAAGGCAGGCACUCAAAGUUCGUUCAAUGAACACAAGAGGAAAACUUCUCUUAUUUAGAUGAGUUUCUAGUAACUUCCAUCCACCACGGGCAUUGCUUGGCUUGCUUGGCCUGUUUCAUCUCAAGACCCAGGGUCAGUUGUGCUGGGAAGCAGACGCCGUCCUCUGCCAAUAGUGGAGAGCCAUGCGCACACACCUUUCUCACGGUGGAACUCUGCUUCCCUCUGGUGGCCACUUGCAGAACUGCAAUGGACAUUUCUGAGGAGGCCACAAAGAGGUCAGAUAGGUAUAUUUUCAAGCAGGAAGGAAUGAAAAGUACCUAUUUUAAAGUAGGUAUAUUUUAAAGCCUCUAAGUGGUUAGAAUAUUUGUCUAGCUGAAUACUGUAAUAAAUUUGGGAGAAUCUGAGUAUUAUUUGAGGUUUGGUGGCCAUCUAAUAAAUAUGCGGAUUCAGGACUGUGAUGUUGACUAGUUCCUAAUAACACGCUGUGCUAUAGUUCUGCUCAUACAUCUGUGUUUAUGUUCUCAGCCACAGUGGUGCUAAAUACUACAGUUUAAUCUUAGGAGACUCAGGAAAGUGUGGGCUCCCUGCUCCAAUAGGAACCUGGCAGUUUGGAAGCUGCAUUAUGAGUAACGGGAUGUGUCACCUGUGCUGCAUUAGAUGGAGAGAGACAAGGGUUCCAGACACAUCCCAGCGCCCUCACAUUAGUUUUGCCAACUGAAUUCUACUGACAGUGACACAGAAGCCACCCAUCCAGAGGGACGCCAGAGGGGUGCCAAGCCAGUCCUCUGCCCCCUGUGCUUAAAGUCUCAGGCAAUCCCAACCCUAUGUAUGGUACAUUACUCUGAUUCAUACACAUGCAUGGUAGCAUUUAAUUAAUAAAUUAAUUUAAUUAAUAAAUUAGGCAGGUUAAGAGAUUAGCAACAGUAAGCAAUAGUGAAAUGCACUAAUUGUAAUGAUAUACUGUGAUAAAAUGUAUGGGAACUCAGUCUUCCUCAGAUACCUCAUCUCUGAGCCACCUCUCCAGCCCUUGACUGUAUCUCGUGUCGUUAGAGUGAAAAUGAAAUAACUCAACAUGUCAGUUCAAGCCCAACACCACUUUUCUCAACAGCGUGAAAGGAAUAAUGAGACCCUGGACAAGGAGAGCAUGUGAUGACAUGUUAGGCCUUGCAUGGUCUAAUGCAUGGAGCAGGAGCUAGCAGUGAGGGGGAGGGGACUUUCCCUCCUCCGUGAAGCUUGAUAAUCGAGUCUGUCAAAAAUAAACCAACAGACAAGAGGAAAAUAGUUAUAUUAACAUGCAGGUGCAUGGCAGUCACGCAAAGUAAGUAAAAUAUAAGAAGGCUCAGAUAGCCAGCACCAAGAGAACCCCCUUCCCAGGGGAGAAGGGAACCAUGAUUCCAGCUAGAGAGGAAAUGGGAAUGAUUUUAGGGUUGACAAAUUAGCAGCAGAGGGGUCGAGGUCCCAUGGGGUACCCUGUCACUUUUAGAUUUAUUUUGAAGAGCUGAUCUUCCAAGAAACAGUCUUUAGGUGUGUGUGAGGGGGACACCUGAGGGGAGCCCUCCAGCACAGUGGUGCAGGAGUAAGGGUGACAGCUGGCACAGCUGGAGGUAGAGUGAUCUCAGGCUGCUUAUUCAGUUCAGCAAACAUGGUGGGUAUAGCUGGUCUUUGUUACUCUGUUUGUUUUUCUUUCCUACCCUUUAUUCUCUACCCCCCCCCACUAUCACUACAGAAAAGAGAAAUAAGGGGAGGGGAGAGGGAAAGACAGAGAGAGAGAGAGAGAGAGAGAGAGAGAGAGAGAGAGAGAGAGAGAGAGAGAGAGAGGUGUCCCAGAUUCUUAAUUUCUUUCCUUAUGUUUCUUCUUUGAACACGGCUACUUAACAAACCUCAACCAACCCUGCCCCCAAAUGACCACCAACCCUGCCUCUCAGGACCCCAGAAUUUCUGUACUCUCUGAAAAUUCCCAGAAUUCCAAACCUCACACACUCACAGAAACUAUCUGCAGCUGACAAAACCUCGCCUCGGCUAGAGCACAGGGCAAAUCAUAGUCAGUUAUGGAUUUGGGGAUUAAAUUAACUUAAUUAAUUUUAAUUAAUUAAUUAUAUUUAUCAACUUAUUUUAUGUAAUUACCCAACUAACCAGAACAAUUAAUUAAUUAAUUUAAUUCUGGGAUUAAAAUGAAAACAUAUUCUUAGAAUAUUUCUGUGUCACUUCAGAGGUGUCUUUUUCUGAACCCCAGGAACAGUGUGCCAAGGCACUGGACAAACAGUAUAGAGUAUCAACACUUGUCACCACUUUUCUAGUGUCCUGCAGGGGGACAAGAACAAUUCCUAGUCCUUAGAUUUGGAUCUGCCCAGUGUGGGCAGUGUUCCUGUCUUCCGGAAUGGCCUGGGUGUUCUUCAAGUGAGUCUCAGGAGGAUGGCAUCUCAUAAACACUCUGCCUAAAGGUCUUGCGUCUGAGGACCCCAAGGAAGAACUUGUUCAGCCCCGUUUGCCCCACUGCUCACUGGUGGCACAGCACUCACCGAAAGUGCUCUGGGGACAGACAGACAGACAGACAGACAGACAGACAGACAGACAGACAGACAGACACACACACACACACACACGCCUGUGCCAGCUUGGGUAUGUGUGCAAGUGCGCACAAGUGUGUGUUCACAUGCACACGGGAGGCCAGUGCAGUGUGGCGGGGGCAGCUUUUUGCACCGCGGGGAUUUGAGACCUGUAAGUCGAGGACCAAUGAGCUGAGGCAGGAAAUAGGAGGUGGGACUCUGGCAGGAAGAGAGGAUUCUGGGAAAUAGUAAGGGUAUAAAAGCGAGAUGAGCCGGGCGAGGAGGAGAUAGACCGAGGAGACGGAUAUAAGCUAGUAGGUAGGUAAACUCAGGGAGACGCUGAGGGAGACAAAAACGAAGAAGCAGUUCAUGACUGAAGGAGAGGUAACAACCUCAUGGUAGACAUAUAAUAGUUUAAACGGGUUAAAUAACUUACAAGCUAGUCAGGGGAUGAGCCAAAGCUUACGGCCCAGGCCUUUAAUAAUAACUACUUAGUCUCAGUGUCAUCAUUCUAGGAGCAGGCAAAGGGUUGGACAAAAGAACCCGGCUUAACUUACACAGUGAACAUUAUUUAUCUGGGCUCUGGGGACAGGACUGGCUAUUCCCGGGUCAGUCUGAACACUGAAACUUUAUGUCAUCUCCAUCUCCAAAUGCAGGCUUCCGCUGAUUCCUCACUGAGGACGGUCUGUUCUGAAUCUGGGGAUUGUCCGCCUACAGAGACAGACAUGACAGGCUAAUGACCCGAAGGCCUCAGACACAUGUUGCUCUUUCCGUGGGAUUUCCACCCGCACCAUCCAAAUGAGACGGUCGCAGGGAAAAGUCCUUCCUCGAUGAGAGUUUUGCUAAUUUGGCUUUUCUGAUUAAAUCUGGCCCGAGGAUUGCGGAAACACGAGGAGGAGCUGCAGUUGCUGGCGACGUAUUUAUCGUGGCCCGCAGCCACUGCAGUAGAAGCGGAGUUUCGUCUGAGGCUGUAAAGAAACGGAAAAGGCCUGAGGACUUCUGGAAGCACAGUUUGGUGAACAUCUCUGCAAAGGCCAAGUCAGCAGGAGGCAAGAGGAGGCAUGGUUCUUUUUCGGAGAAAGAAAGGGAGAGAAAAGGAGAAGAGGCAAGGAUGAAGAGGUCUUAGUGUCCCACUGCUGUGAAGAGAUGCCACUGCCAUGGCAGGCCUUAUAAAGGGAAGCAUUUAAUGGGGCUGGCUUACACUCAGAGGUUUAGUCCGUUCUCAGCAUGGCGGGAGCAUGGCAGCACGCAGGCAGACGUGGUGCUGGACAGGUAGCUCAGAGUUCUACAUCUGGAUCAGAAGGCAGCAGGAAAAGACAGUGAACCACUAAGCCAUGCUUCUGAAACCUCAGCCUCCGCCUCCCCAAGUGACACACAUCCUCUAGCAAGGCCACGCCUACUCCAACAAGGCCUUACAUCCUAACAAUGCUUGGUGACCAAGCAUUCAAACCCAGGAGCUUACGGGGCGUUCCUGUUCAAACCACCACCGAAGAAGACAGAAGAGCUCAAGAGGUUUGAACUCUAGCUGGACUCCCAUGUGGAGCUUGGACCAUCCAAUCUGUGUACAAGAUUUGCAGAUUGGGCUGGAGAGAUGGCUUAGUGGUUAAGAGCAGUGACUGCUCUUCCAGAGGUCCUGAGUUCAAUCCCAGCAACCACAUGGUGGCUCACAGCCAUCUGUAAUGAGGUCUGAUGCCCUCUUCUGGUGUGUAUGAAGACAGCUACAGUGUACACAUAUAAAAAAAUAAAUAAUCUUUUUUAAAAACAUUUAAAAAA
Non-coding RNA from Rattus norvegicus (Norway rat), 6565 nucleotides. The record is from RefSeq and is a predicted model, not a curated record. Lineage: Eukaryota; Metazoa; Chordata; Mammalia; Rodentia; Muridae.